UGCCAGCAGCCGCGGUAAUACGGAGGGUGCGAGCGUUAAUCGGAAUCACUGGGCGUAAAGCGUGCGUAGGCGGCGCAUCAAGUCAGACGUGAAAGCCCUCGGCUCAACCGAGGAAUUGCGUUUGAAACUGGUGUGCUAGAGUCUCGGAGAGGUUAGGGGAAUUCCAGGUGUAGGAGUGAAAUCCGUAGAUAUCUGGAGGAACACCGGUGGCGAAGGCGCCUAACUGGACGAGUACUGACGCUGAGGUACGAAAGCGUGGGGAGCAAACAGGAUUAGAAACCCCCGUAGUCC
Molecule: ribosomal RNA, 291 nt
Filed under: uncultured bacterium
Lineage: Bacteria
Description: partial 16S ribosomal RNA
Rfam family: Bacterial small subunit ribosomal RNA
Source: RNAcentral